This 320-nucleotide ribosomal RNA is filed under the name uncultured bacterium. RNAcentral describes it as "bacterial SSU rRNA". It matches the Rfam family "Bacterial small subunit ribosomal RNA", at positions 470 to 789 of the family's 1533-position model. The record is from RNAcentral.
UGACGGUACCUGACUAAGAAGCACCGGCUAAAUACGUGCCAGCAGCCGCGGUAAUACGUAUGGUGCAAGCGUUAUCCGGAUUUACUGGGUGUAAAGGGAGCGUAGACGGCAUAGCAAGCCAGAUGUGAAAGGUGGGGGCUCAACCCCCAAGCUGCAUUUGGAACUGUUAAGCUAGAGUAUCGGAGAGGUAAGUGGAAUUCCUAGUGUAGCGGUGAAAUGCGUAGAUAUUAGGAGGAACACCAGUGGCGAAGGCGGCUUACUGGACGAUAACUGACGUUGAGGCUCGAAAGCGUGGGGAGCAAACAGGAUUAGAUACCCUG